GGAAUAUUGGUCAAUGGUCGCGAGACUGAACCAGCCAAGUAGCGUGAAGGAUGACGGCCCUCCGGGUUGUAAACUUCUUUUGCUGGAGAUUAAGAUGCGCCACUGGUGGCGUAGUGCAGUAAUCCAGCGAAUAAGCAUCGGCUAACUCCGUGCCAGCAGCCGCGGUAAUACGGAGGAUGCGAGCGUUAUCCGGAUUUAUUGGGUUUAAAGGGAGCGUAGAUGGGAGCUUAAGCCAGUUGUGAAAAGCGCGGGCCCAACCCGCGUCGUGCAAUUGGAACUGUGUUCCUUGAGUGGGUUCGGGGCAGGUGGAAUUCGUGGUGUAGCGGUGAAAUGCUUAGAUAUCACGAAGAACUCCGACAGCGUAGGCAUCCUGCCAGGCCCUUACUGACAUUGAAGCUCGAAGGUGCGGGUAUCAAACA
This 419-nucleotide ribosomal RNA is filed under the name uncultured bacterium. Its description in RNAcentral is "bacterial SSU rRNA". It matches the Rfam family "Bacterial small subunit ribosomal RNA", at positions 358 to 774 of the family's 1533-position model. The record is from RNAcentral.